CGUCUCGAUUAGACGCAAAUUGUUCAUCUCCGUUUGAGUUCGCAAAAUAACAAUACACGAGUUAUCGUACGGGUGUUUUUUUUGUCGAUUAGUUCUUGUGCUGCGCGAUAGCCUGCAGUUUAUCGGCAGAAACAUCUUCUGCACACUGGUAGGGGCAGGUUACCCCGCCAGUGAUCUGAUACGCAGCUGAUAUAUCAGCACGAAUAAUUCUCCCGCACCGCUGUUACCCCGCUAGCAGCACGGACCACCAUACGAUCGAGCGGGUGGAAGAUGCCUUGUAGAUGCCAACUACAAGUGGCAUCUACAAGGUCGCGUAUAGGAUACGGCCACUGUGUCACAACCAGGGUUGAUAUUUGUUGACACUCUUGAGUGAAAGUGAAAAAAAGCAUCCAUAAACGUUAUUUUUUUACAAUCCUUUCAGAGUUCUCCCUUCCCGCUUUUUGCAUGGAAGUGAACUGUCAAAACACCUCAUUAUAUUUCAUGCGAUGAAAGCAAGACAACAAAAUCAGUUUAUCAGUUAACGAAGAUUGUCAUGGCAUCGGUCAGUGUCAGUGAAAAAGUGUUUCGGUGAGGUUCAUUUUGGUUGAGUGGACUGUUUGUUAUUCUUUUUCGCUUUGAAGUGAAGAUCAUUUGGUUGGUUUUGUCGUUAAAUUUUAUUCCGUAACCGUGAACGAUGCGCGCGAUCUAUUUCAUCUGAGUAUAACAGCACGUUACUAGGACGAAAAUCUAGUGUAUUUGAAAGAGUGCUGCGAUCAUUGGAAGUGAAAAUUGAAAAUGAUUGGCUGUAAUUUUCGAAGAAUUUUGCUGGGGAAAAUGACUUUUAUCAGCACUGGUCACAACACGAAGCUGGAUCAUCAUUGUUUGUUCUGCGGAGACGCUCGAUUAAUCCUACUAUCAGCCGUGAGGUCGUGACUUAGACGUUCGGUAGGUGCCACUGAAUGUAAUAGAAAAUAGUCUAAGAAGAUACUCCUGAAAGUAGGUAUGCUUCGAACUCAAGACCCGUGCUAGGAUUGAAUACCGUAUGGUCGCAUGUACUACUCAUUUAGGUGACAAAAAUUCAGCUAAUAAUAGUUAGGGGUGACAUAGAUGGUGUAUAAUACUGGUCGACAAAAGCAAAAAUAUGUUUCCCUAAAAUUGUGGCAAUUUUAAAUGACCAGAGC
Molecule: long non-coding RNA, 1160 nt
Organism: Wyeomyia smithii (pitcher-plant mosquito)
Lineage: Eukaryota; Metazoa; Arthropoda; Insecta; Diptera; Culicidae
Exons: 3
Source: RefSeq, a predicted model, not a curated record